CUGCAUUUUCCUUUUAUUUGUGACCCAAGCAAAACAUAAACAGUCAUCUAAUGGUACAGCACCGAGGGAGUGCGUGGACUUGCUUUAGAAUCAAAUCUCGAUUUUGCAUUGUUCAUUUCUACAAACGGAUUUCGCUGAGGUAUAACCUGAAGAAUAUGUUUGAGCUAAGAGAAGUUUUCAGAUUUUGCACAACCAGUUUCAAUCUUCAAAUGUGGGGUUGGAACUCAAACGAGCAUGUUAUUCUUAUUUGAUAUUUCCAUUGAAACUACUGAUCCAAAAUGCAUCUGUAAAUCCAGAGAUCUGUUAUGGAGAUCAUGGAACCAUAAACAUUUUGGAAAAUGGACGUUCAUUACAGAUUGGAUGUCAGUUCAGAAAAGUUUGACUUAGAAAAGAUGUCUCGACUUCAUCACCUUUCAUGGAUGCUUCAAGUGAGUAAUCAAGAUUUAUUGGUGGAGGAGGACUGGAACAUUUUGUCACUCAGUCUUAACAACAGUGCGGUGGGCACAACUCAUGCCCCACAUGUACUCCCUCAGCUUCUUUAUCUUCUUGAGCGAACUUGACAACGAUUAACAAACAUUAGUUUGAAGAGGCGAGUGCAAAGGUUUGGCCCCACUGUGCAAGUCACAGCUCUUUGUUUCCACCUAACAUGGAAAAGCAUAACCUGCUGUUCAAAAGAACCUUUUGAAUGGGGUUCGAGUUUCUCUCCAGCGAUGAAGUAUUGCAGGAUUCUACUUUCUUUUGGCAGAUGUAGAUUUAAGGAAGUGGACCCAGUUGCAGCUUCUGACAAAGCAGGUCAAGGAACUGGAACUGGAGUUGGAUAUACCUAGAAUCAUCAGGAAACUGACAGCUCCAUAGGUGACUUUCUAAUCUCAGUUAUGGCUUUACUGAUGAGCACUGGGUAGAGGUCAGAGGGAAGGAAAAUCAAGCUGAGUCAAUGUGGAAUGAUCUUGUGGUUCUUCUAACACUGAGGAACUCAUUAAGUCCUCACAACAAGGGAAGAUUAAAAGGUUUGUGAAGAUUUUUGUGGAAGGCGUGAGAUGGAAAAUCCAACAUGCCCUUUCUUGCAGACAACGUCAAAAGAACCGGGUGCUGCAUAGCCAUGUUUAGCAUUGCAAAAGGAGUUUGCUAUUCCUUCCUCUUUUAAAAGAGCAAGGCAAAGGUCCAGUCAGGCAGUGAGACCCAGUUUGGACACGCUACGUGCUUGAAACACAGAAGUGUAGCAGAAGUUUGGAGCACAAAGUCUGGACGAAAAUAGUUGUCAGAUACGCAAUUAGAAAUUGUGGCAUAUGGGAGGAUGGCAAGAGGCAAGGUGAAUGCUUUCCCGUGAUCUAGCCCUGAUGAUUUCUUAUACUUUUUGAGGGACCAAAGAAAAUAAUGUUCGGUGAAUUCAAGGCCUCAAAGCUUAAAGCAUUGUUGAAAAUCUGGACACCCGCUGAAGAACAAUGAUACCCAGAGGAUGAAAGCUGGGGAAUUGCUGCAGCUUCACAUGUCUUCAUCAUGAAAAGUCACAAUAGAGUGAAGCGUGAAAAAUACCCUAAACAGCUGCCAGCAUGUUCGGCAUUCUGUAACUUACUGGCAUUUGGAUGAGGAAGUGCAAACGUUUCUCUAUAAAAUCUGGGCCAUUUUUUCUACAGUUCUUCUGCCAACUCCUGAUGUGUUCUGAAGUAUCUGAAGCAGACAUGGGCAGCCCAAUGGUCAUGGAUCAGGGAUAAAACUUGGAUUAGUUGCAAUGUUGCGACACAGAGGGCUUGGAUUGUACUCAAUCCGGACCACAGCCUGGUUGUACAGCUCUGCAGGAUCAAUCAAGCUUGGGGCCGGUUUCCCACAGCUUCCUGUAAAGCACAGUAAGCAGUGACUAGGUUUCAUCUGGCAAGUCCUAAAGUCUUGCUAUCGGCUCACUGCUGUCAAAAGUUCUGGAGUUACUUUAAAUGUUGAUUUAAAUAAUGGGGGAAAAAAAAUGUUAAAAAAACAAAAGAAGUUUACUCAAAACUUAUCAAAGUACUAGAAUUAAGUUAGCACAUAAAUUUAAAACAAAAUAAAAAUAAAGCACGAUCUACCUACACUUACUUGCUUUCUCAGUUAAGGUCAGCAACCUCAUUCAUUUGUUUUCUCAGACUAUGGUGUAUGACGUUAAGUGCAUAAGGCCUUCUUUGGUUGGAUGCUUGUGUUCUGUCCCUGGAAUAAGCAUGAUUCCAGUGACAGAGGCAUAUAGCUCAUGGCUGGUAUAUCACUUGUGUAUCAUUUCUGGCUGUUUUGUUUUAAGAGACAAGCUGACCAUUGAGGAUGACAUCAGUGCCAAUUCUUUACAGAACUGGGCAUGUGUAAGCUCAUUGAGAGACCCUAGAACAAUUGCUUCCCAUUAGGACCACCCUAUCUCUCAGUGACCUAUUUGGUAAGUUGGAACACCGGCAAUACAAGCAUUUAAUAAAUAUAUGGCAUUAAAGGUUCUUCAUCCAGCUGUAAACUACACAGUUCUAGCAGAAAAUAAUAGAAAGGCAUCUGAGAUUAAAAUCCCAUAUAACCUUGAAGAUACUGCAGUCUAGAAAUCAGUCACCCGAUUGAAAUUAUACUUAUCGCAGAGAUUAUUCCCUUUCAUUACAUGCCAAUUUGGAAAUUCAAGCAGCCACUUCCUGGUGUGGAUCUCAGUUCUUUGCCUGAUGAGAUUUAUUUGAGAUUUUCUAAGCAGUGCUUCUUAUGGAAGAUCACAGGGGAAUUAAUCUAAAUUAAGCCUGGAACAACCAAUGUUAGGCACACCCAGAGCAACUGGAACUUUGAUGCUCAUUGUCAAGCUGCAACCCUACUAAAAUAACUAACAUUUAUCUUAGCCAUUGCAUUACAACAUUGAUUGAUACAGUCUGUCCACCAACCCACCAAUCAGCCAGACCCAGAUACCCAACUGCUCCAGUUAAUCCAGGUCUUUAAAAUGCCCUGCCCCUCAAGAACUCCCACCUCCCCCCAUCUGCCAACUCCGAACCAUACUUUGAGUCUUCAGUUCCCCAAGCACUCAGUAGAACCCUCAACCACACUACAUCCACACUACACCCUCUCCAACCCCCCCCCACCCCACUCCACCCACAGCACGAAGCACCAUUCUCCUUCCUUCCUGCUCUUGAUCCUGUAUUGCCCUUGAUUUCAGGAAUUAAUUGGGUCUGCAACUCUGUUUCUCCCAUAAUCCUCCUCUCUUAGCCCCAAUGCAGAAUAUUUUUGGUUGCAAAAAUUUGUAAUGUUUGUGAAACACUGCAGAACUUUGCCACGCUAGAACUAAGACUAAAACAGUUCUUGGUGAAUUGCUGCCACAGUCAAGUACAGUGCUGUAAUCUUUAGAACAGACUGGAUUUUUUUUACUCCAAGUAUGCAGAGGAAUUCCUGAUUUUCAUCCUUCAGAAUGGUUUGCAGUAUUUUAAUUCUUGACAUUGAUGGCAAUUUUUAAAUUACAGUUUGAUGAAAUGAUUUUGCUACUCUUUCAAAAUUGAUUUCUUUUAUAUUUUAAAUAAUUAGCAAGCUAUUGCACAAUUCAAAUUAAUUGAAAAGUUAUCUAAAGCCAAAAAAGUUUGAUGCAUUGUUAGAAAAAAAUGUAUUUGCAGUUAAAUUGUUUGCUGAACAGAUGCCUGGCUGCUGGCUUUUGGGAUAAACGUGCAAUAACUUUCUAAAUGCCGUAGAAAUUGUUCUCCACUUUCAAAAUGUCAAAAGCUGUAACUAUCUUUUGUGAGAAAAUCAUUGCUCAGAUCAGAUGCUACAUCAUUUUGUUAAUUAAUAGAUGUUAAAUUGGGAACAAAUCAUUUGUUGAUUCUUGUGGAGUUUACAGCACAGAAAGUAACCAUGUGGGCUGGCUGGUGCCUGUUAGUCCUAAUAUGCCACAUUAGCUGUGUCCAGCUCUACGUCAUCUAAUUCUAUUUACAUGACCUUUUAUUCCUUCAUCUUCUGUCCUCUUAUCAAGUUUGGGCUAUGCUAUCUUAUUUUUAUGGCCAUUAGCUUUUGGCUACCACAUUAGUGAAUUAUUUUUAUCAAGCCCUGAACAAUUUUCAAGACAUUUGAUCCCUUGGCCAAUGUACCCAUCUUUUCCUACCUUUCUUGAUGUUUAAACCCCUAAGUUUUCAUAUAUUACGUGUGAACCAGUUUUAUACUUUCUCUGUUGCCUCCAUGUUCUUUCAUUUUUAUGUUGAUUGCAACCGUAAACACAGCGGAAAACUGUGGUAUAAUUGAUCUUAUCUUAACUUCCUAUUUAAAAAUGUUGACACAACAGUCUGCAGAAGCUGAAAUACGCCAAACAGCUUCUGUGCAGGCCGUGUCUUGGGUUGACAUAUACUUCUAGAUUCCCGGGAUUCUUUUGCUCUUUUACUCUUCCUAGACACUUGGGAAUGGAAAUUAGUUGUUGGUCUUAUGCCAGAAAGCAGUGAGCCUGAGCAUUGUAUUUUGGGUUGAGACCCAGCUUCAGGACUGAGAGUGGAGAGGACAGAUGGCCACUAGGGUGAGUCAAGGGCAGGCAGGCAAGAGGAGGGAGAUGAUGGGCCAAUGGAGCUGAAAGGGGGAGGGUAGAAUUUCCCACUACACUUCCUCUGUCAUCUCCCACCUCUGUGAUUAGAGCAGACAAAAAAGAAAAGGUUUUUGAGCAGCUUUAAAUGCAUGAAGGUUUGCUGUAGAAUAUCAGAGUCUGUGGGCAUCAUACAAAAAUGACAUGAAGCUCUUAAGUGAGUUCAGGGUUAUUAAUAGCUAUGCAAUUGCAGGAUUCUACACAGAUUCAUCAGUGACAGGACUAUAGAUUUUACUUGCUGCUAAAAUUUGACAGUUAAUGUUCCUGUACCUAAAAUCUAAUGCAUUGCUAAACAUGAAAAAUUAAUAGUCCUGACAAAGGGUUCCGGCCCGAAACGUUUCCACGCAUGCUGCCCAACCUGCUAAGUUCUUCCAGCAUGUUGUGAGUGUUGCUUUGACCCCAGCAUCUGCAGAUUAUUUUGUGUUAAAAAUUAUUACAUUAUGGUUUCUACCAAUAUUCAUUCAUUUUUACACAUAUCUAAGUAAUAUGAAGCCUGUGCAAAUGCUGAAUGCACUCAGAAUAUGUUUGCAUUUCCUUCACCUGCAUAUAGGAAGUACAUAAUUACUUGUAUUCCUACUGUAGCUCUGAGGCAAGCCGAGUGUUGAACUUGAGUUGUCUGUAUGGUAGCUGUUUGCCUGUUAGGUUAAUACUUAUUUUUCUCUUUUGUAUCCACAAUUCAUAUUUUGUUUUAGUAUAUUUUAGUAAUGAUCCCAAAAACUGAAGAAGCGUAGAUUUGGUUGAAAUGACCUAGGCAGACUGUCAGCUAGAAUUUUCACAAAAUGGCUGUUCUGUCUGCAUAGCCAUUUUGCGGCUGUGCUGAAGCUGCCAGGUACUGCUAACAGAGACAGCAUUAGUACACAAAUAGGCACCAAAUAGUUCCUGGAUGGAACCCAGAUCCUGUGCUUCAGGAGCUGACCUCGGGCUGAAGUCAUCGACAGUUCUUUUGCAACACUACAGAUACAUUGGCAGGUGCAUUAGGUGCAUUAAUCUCGAACAAUGUGCAGAAUGUCAUUAAUCCAAAUCCUGUAUAAAAUUAUCUUCAGAUUUGCUGUUUUUACAAUUCUUUUAAUAUCUCCCUGUAAGUGUUUCUCUAAAGAUGAAUAAGUUGAACCUUCCCUUGCACAGCAGUUUCUCCCAUGAGAAAGAUGCAGCCAAAUGAAAAUAUUGCUUGGCAUCAACAGUUACCAGCCAACAGGAAUAAGGCAACAGAGCUGCAGCAUCUCAUACUCAUGCAAAUAUCUCAGUAAUGAUUUGCAGUGUUCAAAAAGAUCCCUAUUUAUUCAAGUGAAAUAACUUCUAUGAAUCUACAAUAUUUGAUAAUAUUGCCACUCAAUCACAAAUUUAAAUGAAGCACUUGACAGUUUAAACCUUUAUUUAAAAAUAGAUAAUGGCAUUAAUUUUACACCAUGAUGUCAGCUACAAAGAGGUAAUGAAAUAUUACUAUGUGUCGUGCAUUUAUCUGAGCCACAUAUUUAUAAUUGUAAGCUGAAAAUUUUUGGAACAUGCAGUAUCUUCAUUAAGAUAGCAUGAAUGUAACGUAGCUGAAUAUUCUCAUUCAGAUGGCCGCAUUUAGUGCAAAGUAAACAAUGUCAGGUUUUCUAAAAUCUUUUUAAACACAAGCUCCAGACAACAGCAUGUACUUUAUGUGCAUAAAUCUUUAUAAAAUCCUCGUGAUACCACAGUUUAGAGUACUUUGGGUGCUUUGAGCUCUAAGCUACAGAAAGGAGUUUAUGCCAAAACAAAGAUACUAAGGUCCAAUAGCAAUUUUUCGAAUGCCGCCAAAUAAACUUGUAACUUUGUUUUGCAUGCCAUCCAUCAGAUCAUUUCAUUACAAAAGUGUAUUGAGGUGGUACAGGAGAAGAGCGGUAACAGAAUGCAGAAUAAAGUAUUCCAGUUGCAAAGAAAGUGUAAUGCAGGCAGACAGUAUGGUACAAGUCCACAAAUCAGGUCAACAAUCUAUCUCAUCAUGCUAGGGAAGCAUUUAAUAAUCUUAUAACAGUGGCUUUGAAGAUGUCCUUGAACCUGGUGGCACAUGCCUUCAGGGUUUUGUAUCUUCUGCCUGAUGGGAAAGAGAGAAGAGAGGAUGUUUGGGGUGGGUGGCGUGUCUUUGAUAAUAUUGUCAGCUUUACUGAGACAGUGAGAAGUGUGGACAAAGUCCAUGGAAGGGAGGCUGAUUUCUACAAUGUGCUAAGCUGUGCUCACAGCUCUCUGCAGUUUCUUGUGGUCAUGGGCAGAGCAAUUGUCAUAACAAGCCAUGAUGCAUCCAGAUAGGAUGCUUUCUGUAGCAUCAAUAUAAAUUGGUAUGAAGCAGAGGGGCCUUGCCAAAUUUCUUUGGCCUCCUGAGGAGGUAGAGACACAGGUGUGCUUUCAUGGCUGUGGUGCCUACGUGGUUGGACCACAGGCUGUUGAAAAUGCUCAAUCCUAGGAACUUGAAACUUUAAACCUUCUCAACCUCAGCACCACUGAUGGAAACACAAGCAUGUGCACCUUCUUACCCAAAUCAAUGACCAGAUCUUUUGUCUUGUUGACAUUGAGGGAAAGGUUUUUGUCAUGACACCGUAUACUAGGUUUGCUAUCCCCUUCCUGUACUCUAACUCAUUCUUUUCUGAGAUUUGGCCCACUAUGGUGGUGUCAUCUGCAAACUUGUAGAUGGAAUUAGAACACAAUUGGCCACACAGACACGAGUGUAUAGGGAGCAGAGUAGGGGGAUGAUGAUGCAGCUAAGAGGGACAUCAGUGUUGAGAUUAAUAUGGCGGAGCUGUUGCCAUCUACCUUUAAUGAUCGUGGUGUGUUGAUCAGGAAGUCAAGGAUCCAGUUGCAAAAGGAGAUGUUGAGUCCCAAGUCUAGGAGUUUGGAGAAGAAUUUGCUUGGAAUUAUAGUAUUGAAGGCAGAGCUGUUGUCAAUAAACAAUAGUCUGAUGUUGGUGUCUUUUGUCCAAAUCUCCAGAGAUGGUUGUAGGUCCAGUGACAUAUUUUUUCAGCAAUAGACAAAUAGCAGUGGGUUGAGGUUGCCAUGACCAGCCUCUCAAAGCACUUAAUGAUAAUGAAUAUCAGAGCCACUGGGCAGUAAUCAUUUAGACAUGUUGCCUUAGUUUUUUUAGAUACUGUACUGGGAUGAUAGUGGUUUUCUUAAAGCGGGUGGUAAACUCAGAUCAAAGUAAGAAAAGGUUAAAAUGUCUUCAGGUACCCCUGCCAGCUGAUCUGUGCAGGAUCAGGCUGUUGAAGCAAGAGAUUAAAGAUCUAAGGGAACACUUCAGCCAGCGAAUCAGCACAGACCUUCAGUUCUCGGACAGGUAUCCCUUCUGGGUCACAUGAAGCAAAUCCAGGGUUGUAUAUGGUGACAUGUACUGUAUGUACUUGGGCAAUAAAUUUACUUUGAACUUAGCAUUUUGCUUUCCAUGAGCUUAUCCCCUUGAAGGAUGCUCCCACAUUGGCCCCCCAGUCUGAAAUCAAAGGGACGUUGGGGGCUGAGGGAGUUCAUGAAUGAAGGGUCUCAGCCCGAAAUGUCGAUUGUUUACUCUUUUUCAUAGAUACUGCCUGGGCUGCUGAGUUCCUCCUGCAUUUUAUGUAUGUUGUGUGGAUUUUCAGCACCUGCAGAUUUUCUUGUCUUCUCGAUUUUAAAACGUGGUAUUUUUUUUCACUUGUACUUGUUCUAUAUUGACAUCACUGUAUUUCUCUAGGAUAUGGUGUCUCAUAUCUUGAACCUGUACACAUAUGAGCCAGUACCCAUUUAUGUCUACAGCAUUGUACUCAAAUAGUCUUGGCCAGACUUAAACUGCUGGCUCAUACUUGAGAAUUAAAACUAUCAGUAAGAAGAGAAGUGGCCUGGAAACAUCCAAAGAACUCAUUAGUUAUCCUCAUUGACACCUUUUUUAAGCAGACACUGAAAGAUACCCAUAUUAAUGAAAAAAUUAGCUAUAAGCAAGACACCAAUUUAUUGAUUUCCAACUAAGAAGCACUUCUUUGGUAAUUAGAAAGUAGAUGGUCAUGUCCAACAUGCUUGUUACAUUCAGCAUAUGAAUAUUUACCCAUCCAGUUCAGCUAACCUUCAGGCUGCUUUUCAAACUUUGAAGCCAAAGUCAUAGUUGCUUAUUGUU
Molecule: RNA transcript, 8627 nt
Organism: Mobula hypostoma (lesser devil ray)
Lineage: Eukaryota; Metazoa; Chordata; Chondrichthyes; Myliobatiformes; Myliobatidae
Gene name: craniofacial development protein 2-like
Exons: 12
Source: RefSeq, a predicted model, not a curated record